This 330-nucleotide unclassified non-coding RNA is filed under the name Hevea brasiliensis (rubber tree). Lineage: Eukaryota; Viridiplantae; Streptophyta; Magnoliopsida; Malpighiales; Euphorbiaceae. The record is from RNAcentral.
AAGUUUCAUUGUCUUUGUCAAGUUGCAGGUUUGAAGAGGUGCAAAUCAAGGUACCAAAAGUGUUUGACACUUUUGUUCCUCCACCCCAAAGAGAUCAUGUUGUAUCCAAACAAAUAAGAAGAGUGGACCUUUCAAAUCUUGUUUUUAAUGUCCUUGGCAAGGAUUUGAGGACAAAUCCUUUUCAAGAAGGGGGGUAUGAUAUGCCUAUAAGGGGUCAAGAAUUUCCAUCAAUUUAAGAACUUUGAAGCACGUUCAUCACAAGCAUGUAGGAUGGAAAGCACAUGGGAAACUAAUUCAUUAUGAUUGCAUGAGCUUAGUGAAAGCAAAAAA